ACAACGCUCUUGUGUUAACGUUAAACAUAUAAGUCCACGACAAUGUUUCGCCAUAAAAUUAAUCUUCUCUGGAGUGAUAAACUCCGCAGCUAU
Molecule: non-coding RNA, 93 nt
Filed under: fish gut metagenome
Source: RNAcentral